This 450-nucleotide ribosomal RNA is filed under the name uncultured Glomeromycotina. RNAcentral describes it as "SSU rRNA". It matches the Rfam family "Eukaryotic small subunit ribosomal RNA", at positions 569 to 1016 of the family's 1831-position model. Lineage: Eukaryota; Fungi; Glomeromycota. The record is from RNAcentral.
CGCAGCCGCGGUAAUUCCAGCUCCAAUAGCGUAUAUUAAAGUUGUUGCAGUUAAAAAGCUCGUAGUUGAAUUUCGGGAUUGACGUAAUGGUCGUGCCUUAAGGGGUAUGAACUGUUACUGUUGAUUUCUCACCUUCUGGAGAAACUUGAUGUCCUUAAUUGGGUGUCUUGCGGAUCCAGGACCUUUACCUUGAAAAAAUUAGAGUGUUUAAAGCAGGCAUUUUUGCUCGAAUACAUUAGCAUGGAAUAAUAGAAUAGGACGGCAUGGUUCUAUUUUGUUGGUUUCUAGGAUCACCGUAAUGAUUAAUAGGGAUAGUUGGGGGCAUUAGUAUUCAAUUGUCAGAGGUGAAAUUCUUGGAUUUAUUGAAGACUAACUACUGCGAAAGCAUUUGCCAAGGAUGUUUUCAUUAAUCAAGAACGAAAGUUAGGGGAUCGAAGACGAUCAGAUACC